This 264-nucleotide long non-coding RNA is filed under the name Sorghum bicolor (sorghum). Its description in RNAcentral is "long non-coding RNA (SBIC_LNC005178)". Lineage: Eukaryota; Viridiplantae; Streptophyta; Magnoliopsida; Poales; Poaceae. The record is from RNAcentral.
CAAGAACAAGACUACACAAAUUCAAGAUCAAUCCAGACGUAAAUCAAGGAAGAGGACCAACAGGAGAAAUAGGAACAAGCAAGUGUGGACCGAGUCAGCUAAGAUGGUCACUGUAGUCCAUGGAGGCCAAGAUCAUCAACUUAAGUCACCGUUUUUGACCAAGAAGGACGACCCAGGAAUGCCAAGCAUUUACUGCUCCAUACAUGGAUAUAGCUUCUACAAGACGAUUUGCGACACCGGAUCGGGCGUCAACAUAAUGGCCGC